GCUGUCCUGGACCUACCAGCAGCACAGAUGCAGAUGCUCUGCUCUGCCUGUAACAUCGGGGAAAAGUCAAAGUGGUUAUUUCCACACUCAAUAUUCGGAAAACAGUAAACAACAAGAAUGGAGAAUAGCCUGACAUUU
Molecule: small nucleolar RNA, 138 nt
Filed under: Callithrix jacchus (white-tufted-ear marmoset)
Lineage: Eukaryota; Metazoa; Chordata; Mammalia; Primates; Cebidae
Description: Small nucleolar RNA SNORA43 (ENSCJAG00000027545.3)
Rfam family: Small nucleolar RNA SNORA43
About the family: ACA43 is a member of the H/ACA class of snoRNA that guide the sites of modification of uridines to pseudouridines.
Source: Rfam by way of RNAcentral